Molecule: long non-coding RNA, 875 nt
Filed under: Ananas comosus (pineapple)
Lineage: Eukaryota; Viridiplantae; Streptophyta; Magnoliopsida; Poales; Bromeliaceae
Description: long non-coding RNA (ACOM_LNC027442)
Source: RNAcentral
UUUUUUAAAAAAUUGUAAUUGGUUGGAGUCUUGGAGACGUCACAUGACAUGACUGUUAUAUUUUAAACUUUUUCUUCCGCAGAUUCAAAGUAAUUGUGAUAUUUAUAGUAAAAAAUAAUUUAAUCUAAAAUUACAUAUUAUUAAAUUCUGAUGUUGAUACUAUUAAGGUGCGUUUGGUUCGCGCUAUUUUUUAAAAAUUUUUAGUAAUCUAAUGAAAAUAAAAAAAUAUGACGGUAUUUGGCUAAACGCACUAAGUAAUCUAGUUGGUAAUAUUGGAUUCACUUGGUAAUAAGAUUCACACCAAAGUACUAAUCUUAUUCCCUUGAGGGAGGGUGGGUAUUCUCAUAUUAAUGAAUUUGGGUAAUCAUAAUAUGUCUAAUCUAUUUCUUUCUUUCUACCCGCCGGCUAAUUGAUAUUAUUUUUCGUUACACUCUAAUCUUAUAUCUCUUUUUAAACUUAUUUUUCUCUCUAAAAUUUAACUUUUUUUCUCUCUCUAAACUAAGCUUUCUCUCUCUCUCUCUUUCUAAAAUUUUAACUCUCUCACUCCCUCUAAUUUCGACUAUAUUUUUCUUUCUAUUUUUUUAAUUAUGCUCUUUCUCUAACUUAUACUUUCUCUUCCUUUUUUCUAAAAAGAUGUUGAAACUUUUGAUAACAUUAUCUAAAAUUAAAUAAAUAAAUAAAUAAAUUAAUUGUAUAUUUUUUGUAAUAUUAAAUAACAUGGCUAAUUAAUCUUACCGUGCGAACCAAACAUAGGAAUUCCACAUUCUUAGUAAUAAAAUGAAUAGUAAUAAAAUUCUCGGAGAUCUUUUAUUACUAGUAAUAUUUCAUAAUGCGAACCAAACGCAACACCCUUAGAGUUAUUUUUUAGAUCGAAC